RNAcentral lists this ribosomal RNA (643 nucleotides) under uncultured bacterium. RNAcentral describes it as "bacterial SSU rRNA". It matches the Rfam family "Bacterial small subunit ribosomal RNA", at positions 162 to 823 of the family's 1533-position model. The record is from RNAcentral.
GCUAAUACCGCAUAAGCGCACAGCUUCGCAUGAAGCAGUGUGAAAAACUCUGGUGGUAUACGAUGGAUCCGCGUCUGAUUAGCUAGUUGGCGGGGUAAAGGCCCACCAAGGCGACGAUCAGUAGCCGGCCUGAGAGGGUGAACGGCCACAUUGGGACUGAGACACGGCCCAAACUCCUACGGGAGGCAGCAGUGGGGAAUAUUGCACAAUGGGGGAAACCCUGAUGCAGCGACGCCGCGUGAGUGAAGAAGUAUUUCGGUACGUAAAGCUCUAUCAGCAGGGAAGAAAAUGACGGUACCUGACUAAGAAGCCCCGGCUAACUACGUGCCAGCAGCCGCGGUAAUACGUAGGGGGCAAGCGUUAUCCGGAUUUACUGGGUGUAAAGGGAGCGUAGACGGCAGCGCAAGUCUGGAGUGAAAUCCCAUGGCUUAACCAUGGAACUGCUUUGGAAACUGUGCAGCUAGAGUGCAGGAGAGGUAAGCGGAAUUCCUAGUGUAGCGGUGAAAUGCGUAGAUAUUAGGAGGAACACCAGUGGCGAAGGCGGCUUACUGGACUGUAACUGACGUUGAGGCUCGAAAGCGUGGGGAGCAAACGGGAUUAGAUACCCUGGUAGUCCACGCCGUAAACGAUGACUACUAGGUGU